This 35-nucleotide transfer RNA is filed under the name Meliosma cf. brenesii JDZ-2015. RNAcentral describes it as "partial tRNA-Leu". The record is from RNAcentral. Lineage: Eukaryota; Viridiplantae; Streptophyta; Magnoliopsida; Proteales; Sabiaceae. RNAcentral also lists the same sequence under 1 other name.
GCCGCCAUGGUGAAAUCGGUAGACACGCUGCUCUU